GCAAGAGGCCACUGGGGCUCCGGCCAGCCUGACUUGUUGACAGCUGCCGCUGGCUAAGCCAGGUUCAGUGAGUACUUCUUUCUCUGCCUACAGCCUACACUGGAGAAGUGGCUGGCCUGCUCUGAAUGGUAAAGGUCCUGAAUUCUCCUGCCAGGAGAUGAAAAGACUGAAGUUCAGAUAAGAGCCCGGGGCUACACUCCACACCAAGUGUGUGCUCGCUGAGGAGCGACUGAAGGAAACCCCCACUCCCCUCUCUCAGUAACGCGAAUAGCUGGGCUUUCCAGUCCUGUUCUUGUACAAGGGUGCAGUCGGAAUGUCAUGCCGUGCUUCCAACAGGAGCUCCCAGGACAGGGGAUUCCAGUGACGGGGAUCUGGCCGGGAAGCAGUGCCGUUGUCAUGCAAGGAUCCCAACCCAGAACGAACGAGGUCAAGAUGACUCCCUCACAUACAGAAGCACAUGCUCCCUGGACAUCUCAAGGGACUGAAUGUGAGCAAAAUCUGCAUUUCCAAAGGUUUUAUUUAUUCAUUUUCAGAGAAGAAGCGAGGGAAGGCGAAGGGAGAGAAACAUCAGUGUGUGGUUGCCCCUCACGCGCUCCCUGCUGGGGACCUGGCCUGCAACCCAGGCAUGUGCCCUGACUGGGAAUGGAACUGGCGACCCUUUGGUUCGGAGGCCAACACUCAGUCCACUGAGCCACACCAGCCAGGGCUGACUUUUCUUAUUAUGUAAUAAAAUUUGAUCUGAACUUUCUAUAA
This is a long non-coding RNA of Artibeus jamaicensis (Jamaican fruit-eating bat), 753 nucleotides long. RefSeq lists it as uncharacterized. The transcript has 5 exons. The record is from RefSeq and is a predicted model, not a curated record. Lineage: Eukaryota; Metazoa; Chordata; Mammalia; Chiroptera; Phyllostomidae.